Molecule: ribosomal RNA, 484 nt
Filed under: uncultured bacterium
Lineage: Bacteria
Description: partial 16S ribosomal RNA
Rfam family: Bacterial small subunit ribosomal RNA
Source: RNAcentral
AUUGAACGCUGGCGGCAGGCCUAAUACAUGCAAGUCGAGCGGACGAACGGAGCUUGUUCCUGGCUUCAGCUACCGACGGGCGAGUAAUGCCUAGGAAUCUGCCUUGUCGUGGGGGCUAACGUACGGUAACGGACGCUAAUAUCGCACCCGUCCAGAGGGUGAACCGGAGGGAUCUUCAGUCCUAACGCUUUCUGCUGACACUAGGUCGGAUUAGCUAGUUGGUAGGGUAAAGGCCUACCAAGGCGACGAUCCGUAACUGGUCUGAGAGGAUGAUCAGUCACACUGGAACUGAGACACGGUCCAGACUCCUACGGGAGGCAGCAGUGGGGAAUAUUGGACAAUGGGCGAAAGCCUGAUCCAGCCAUGCCGCGUGUGUGAAGAAGGUCUUCGGAUUGUAAAGCACUGUAAGUAGGGAGGAAGAGAAGUGUGUGAAAACCUUGAUGUUUUGACGUUACCAAAAGAGUAAGCACCGGCUAACUUCGUG